CCCGCCAGCCCCGCGCUCCAGCGGCCGAGCGCGUGCGGCCGCCGAGCACAUGGGCCCGCGGGCCGGGCGGACUCGGGCGGCCUGGACCGGGAGGAACAGCGAGGGGCGGCGAGCGAGGCUGGGUCCCGGCACGCCCCCGGAGCCCCCCGAGUGGAUUUCCACGCGGAAAGGAUGGUGGCCGUCCGGGUGACCUGCGGAGACACGGCCGGAUCCACCUUCCAGCCUGAUCUUUUGAUCAGGGAGGAAUUCAAAAGAAUGCCCCCUUGUGAUGGCUGCGCUGUCAAGUACAUGGAGCUUCCCUCGAGGAUUUUCUGAGCCUUGUGGAUAUACUGUGAGCCUCGCUGCCUGGGGAGUAAGGCGGCGGAAGCAGUCUCUGGGGGGACCCAUGCCCGCAGCAUUUCUGGAUGCUAAAGGUGGCUUUAAGGAAGGCCCAGCUGAGUGCCUCGUGGAUUCCUGCAGCCUGGAUGCCUGCGGGGGACAGAAGACCGAUGCUUCCUGCCCUCAUCACCCAGGAAUGUCGGGAGGGGGCUCCGCCAGUUCCCUGAAGGGCUCCCAGUGAAACGUAAGGCCUGGCUCGAAUCUCCCACCUUCCUGUGAUGGCUGUGGUGUAAUCUGAAAAAAUGCAGAUCCGUUCAGAACUCCAGAAGGACUUGAAAACUGUCCUGCCCUGAACGAAAGCUGGAAUAUCGUGGGCUUUGAUGAACCAAGGUAAGGGAUGCUCUCCUCUUGAGCCUUUUGGGACCAGACGUGGCGACUGGACUCGGUGAUCUCUGGCAACACAGCUUGGGUUGUGGUUUUUGACUGCUCGGCAGGCCUGGCUUCCUGUGCUUGGGAAGCUGCCCUCCAGUAGCCUCGCCCCGCUCCACAGGUCCCGGUUUUCGGCGCCGGGUCCCCUGCCCCUUGUGCGGGGGCGCUCUCCCUCUGUCCCUGGCUGAGGAAGGAGCCGUCCCUCUCCUAAGUGGGACACCUGUGCCUUGCCUCUUGGCAGAGGAGAGGGUGCCGCAGCGGUUCUGCUGAGGCGCGGGGAGCCUGCCCCGGGGAGAGGACGGGGGUUGGUGGGAUGAUGAGAUCAAGUCUGCAGGCCUUGGGGGGGCAUCCGGCUGCCAUCUCUUCCUCUCACCUCGCCUCCCUGUGCUUCCUGUUCCAGCUUCCAGUCUCAGGCUGCCCCGGGGUCAAGGGGAAGAGGUUACAGCUGCCGGCUUCAGGCCAACCCGUUUUCCUGGUCUUGCUGCUCGCCUCACUCAGCCUCCCCCAAGUCUGUUUCCUCAUUUAUAAAGUCGGGAUGCUGUGAGUGCCCGGGAGGAUGUUGUGGGCGCUGAGUGUGAUAGUGGAGAAAAGGGUUUCGCAGGCUGCCUCUCGUGGAGGAGGAAGUGCUCCAGAACGGACGAAGGUCCCUUUUUUUCCCUUUUAAUUCAUUCAGGACCCCAUUUAGAGGGCCUGCCGUGCAGCAGACUGUUUCCAAGACCUCAGACUGCCGUGCACCGGCCACCAAGUCCGCCUGGGAAAUGGCCUGUGACUCACCUUCCUGGCUGUGUGCAGCACCUCGCCCCUCGCAGAGCCGAUGGCUCCCCCCUCUGGACCGUAGCCCGCAGUUGAGGGCAGGCCGAUAGGAGGUCAUUUGCGUUGUCCCCGGUCCCCCCGACCCCCGGCUGGUGAGCCUGUUUAGAGCAAAAACCCUCUUACACAUCCUGAUGCCCCAGGGUUGGGCCUGUUGAAAGAACACGGGACUGAAUCAUUGAAAAGGCGGGUGUAGAGAGGAAAAGCCAGAGUGGGAAGCAAAGGGAGAAAGUUUUUAAAGAUGUGGCGCCAAGAGGGAGGCCGGGUGUGGUUUUUUUUCCCUUCGAUGAGAUGUUGAAAAGAAUAAGCGAUGUGCCGAGAAAAGGAAAAAUGAGCCCUGCUGCACCCGGGAAACCUCUGCAAGGGUGGGAAGUCGGGUGAGAAAGUGUGGACGGCGAGAAGUCAGGUGGAGAAAGCAGCCCAGGACGGUGCUCACGCGUGCGUGUCCUCUUUUGCUCGCGCCUUAUACCUUUUCAAAAGGCGGUUGCGUUUCUCAUCCCCCCCACCCUCUCCGGGGCGUUCAGGAGCCGAGUGGCCCACGGAGAUGGAGAGCAUGGGGCUUUGCCCUCUGGUCAGGGUGGGCCCCUGACAGACAGAGGGUCCUCCAGGCUCACCAGGUGUGUGGGAGGCCUGGGGAUGGGCCCUUGUCCAUUCCGGGAGGCUUCCUGGAGGGGGUACUGUCUCUUGAGACUCUCGGAAGAUGCAUGUGAAUAAGACAUUAGCAGAAGCCUUUCUCUACUCAGCCGCCUGGGUGCUCACCUUCCCGGCUGGCUUGGAUUUUGUGAUCUACUUGCUUAUUCUCUAGCUAGUGUCACAUUCUAGUGUCAGCAGGCAGCGGCCGUGAGUACAGCUCGCAGGCCCGCCUUUUUUUUUUUUUGCCCCUGGAGCCCUCAACCAGUCCUUCAGUUGGGUUUCAGAAGCCCACGCUCCUGGUCCAGGCCAUCAGCUUGGGAAGCGGAAGUGUAUACGGAUGCAAAGCUGCCUCUUCUGGAAUCCCUGCUCCCUGGAGCACCUGCAGGGCUUGAGCUCCUGUGCCGGAGGGUUGGGGGGGUGGGGGGUGGGUGUGGGGUGGAAGAGCCAGUGGGAGGCCAGGCGCUGGGGUAGAGGAUCUGAAAGCUGGGAGAACGGUUCUUUUGACAGAGGAAAGGCUUGGCAGGUCUGUCUGGGGGUAAUGAGAAAGGAAUUUCCCUAGAACUCAGCUGCUGGAGGUGGACAGAGCGGGAGUAGAUGUUGGGACCUCAAGGCUGACAGUCCUGGACACAUCCCUGGGCUGGGCUGGUCUGUCCCGGGGUGGGGUUUAAGAAAAGCCCAAGCACUUGGGCUCAUGUGUGGCUUCUACUUGUUCUAAAGGCACUGCCCUCCCACCCGGAGCCUGUGUGCCUGCCCCCCUGGCUGAAGUCAGCUCACCCGGGCUGCGCGCCAGCAGGAGGGAUCUGCAGCCUUCCCAUCCGUGGGCUUGUUUGCCCCGUUCCUGCCGUGGAACAGACGAGUACCAGUAUCUGGGCUUCUAGCCCAGUGUACUAUCUAGGAGAUUCUAGCCUACUUCCCUCUCCUCUCUCCGACCCUGGGCCAGUCCUUUCUAGCUCCCCAUGCUUCUUUUCUCAGCUGCACAACCCAGCCGGGGGCGGGGCGGUGGGGGGGGGAGCAUGGUCAGUGAAAAAGAGCCCUUGUGGUUUGCCUCUCUCCCACCUCCUUACCUGCCUGGCUCCGGCCCAACCGAGUUACUCUCCCUCCUCCCGGCCCCGGCCUCCUUCCUGCACCUGCACACAGGGUGCCUUUUUCCCUGGCUUUUAGGGCCUCCUCGUCUGGCUCCGCCUCCCCCGGGAACAUCUCUUGGCUCCUGCCUGAUCGUCCCAAGCCAGCCCUCUCUGGCCUGCAGUGAGAGGGUAUCCGAAGGCACCCAUCUGCCUGUCCUUGGACGCGCGCCAGCUCUGGUCAUUAGCCACAGGGUGUGUGUGUGUCAAGGUCGCUUCCUUUAUUCCGUGGCCAGAGUAUUGAAAGAUCUCCUGGCCCACUCGGAACUCUACCCUUGAAACAGAAACGGAUUUUCAAAACACCUCUGCAACUGGCCCAUUUUACUAUUACUGUUUCUUGUGGUUUCAUAUUGAGGUUUUUGGCUCAUUGCAUUUGACCUGGGGUUUAUUUUUAGUAGCGAAGACAGAGUUCAAUUAAUGUCAGAGACAUGAGGGCAAAUGCAGAGGAGGGAUUCGUAAGUCUAGGGGAAAAUGUGCCUAAUUUUGUUUCUUCUGAUAAUAUCUGUCACGCUGGCAGACACGCAGCUUCCUCAGCGGUGCCUUCGAUGGGCUUUGCAGAGGCAGGGAAUCUGCCCACCCCCCCAAAUGGAACCGUCUCUGGGUCUCCUGCGGUCCAGUUUAUCCAGCAGCUGGCCACACAGCUGGCCGUUAUCGUUAUGGCUGAUAAUUGUUAUAAUUAAUAUUAGAGUAAAGGCCACUCUUUGGAACCUUCAUUUCUUAUCAUCUCCCCAGUGGGUUCGGUUUCCUUCUGUCUCCAGGAGCAGCACCCGACUGGCUUGACUAUCCGCUCUCCUCCCUGCACCGUGAGUGCUUUGAGAACAGGCUCUGGGUCUGGCUCUCUCUUUAGUCCCAGCCUUUGGCACCGUGACAGGAGCACAGGCUAUGCUCGGGGAAUGUUUUCCUGGAUCGCCUGCAUUUUUUUGGAUACCGGGUGUGGGUGAGAAAGUCAGACUUCAUGCAGCCACUGCUCUUUCUGCAAGGGCUCCCCGGUCUGUUCUGGGGUUGGGGGAAACCAAGCCCUAUUUGCUUAGGACUUAGCAGUUGAUCAAGUUCCUUCUUGUUCUUCCGUCUUUCUUUUCUUCCAUGGCGAUUUACGGAGAACCUGCAGGGGCCAUUAUGCAGGUGCCUGGAAUAAAGGAGGGAAAAAGCACCAUUCUUGCUCUGAAGGAGAUCCAGAGACAGACGCUGGCUUUAUGGAUCCCUGUGGUUCUGGAUUGUGUAUUCAUGCCCCCCCCCCUCACCCCCCGCCCCGCCCCGACCCGGAAUUCAGAUGUUGAAACCAUAAUCCCCAGCGUAAUGGUAUCGGGAGGUGGGGCUGUUGGGAGGUGGCUAGGUCAUAGGGUGGAGCCCUCACGAUGGGUCGAGGGCUCCUAUAAGAAGAGACACGGGGCAGGUAACGUCUCCCUCUGCUCCCCACCACGUGAGCUGGAAGGCAGCCCUCCACAAACCAGAGACGGCAUCGGCUGCAUCUUGAUCUUGGACUUCGAGCCUCCGGAACUGUGAGGAAUAAAUUCCUAUUGUUUAAGCCACCCAAUCUAUGGCAUCUUAUUACAGCAGCCUGUGCGGAUGGAGACACCUGUAUUUCACAGAUGAAUGAAUUGGAGACCUGGAGCCUUGUGCUGCUGCGAGCUCUUUGCUAGUUGGCGGUGGAUCUUACAAGAGUGGGUGGAUCUUCUGAGUCCACAUGUUGCUACCAGUACUACCAAUAAUCAUAGUAAAAAUGACAAAAGCUCCAAUGUGUUAUUCAGAGUGUUUCCGGCACUUUACGUGUAUUCUCUCCUUUGCUUUUCAGGGCAUGUGAGGAAAUGGGGAUUAGCUAAUGUGCCCCAGAUGGCAAAGGAAGGCAUCUCCCCGUGGGGUACAUGUGAAGGACAUACUCGUGCUUUGUGCUUUGCCAUAAUUUCAAGCUCUUUUUUUAUUUUUAAACUUGGGGCUAAUAUUUAGAAGCUUUAACUAAUGAGCAGACCCUUUGCUAAACUGAUGUAAGCGCUGCAUGUCGCCACGACUCCAGCCCCGCGUCUCUCGCUGCCUCUUACCGAGGUCCCUAGAUGCCCCUGUUCUCUCCAGGGACCCUCCCAGCUCACCUCUAGGUUUUCUCCAGGCUCGGCCAUCCCUCUCUGCUCUCCUGGGACCCAGGUCUAUCAGGGGACCCUGACAAAGUCUGAGAUCCUGCAGGUUGGAUCCUUGGUUUAUAAUGGAGUAAAUGACAGCGCCCCACCUGACACACAGCUGUCUAGCGCCCUGGCUGCUUCCGGAGUGCGGGUGGCUUUCAGAAGCCCUGAGCCGCUAAGGCUCUGGGUCCGUGGGCUCUCAGUCAUGCCGGUCUGCUGGGAAUUCAGACUCUUUGGCUCCCAGCCUUCUUUCUUCCAAUUCUGUCACCCCCCCUGGAGCUGGCUAGUGAUGGGUACUUAAUGAGGAAAAUAUCCACACGGGAGGCAGAGCAUCUGGAAGAUUUUUUUUCCCCUCCAAAGAUGAAACCUAAAAACUAAAGGACCCACUUGUCCCAGCAUCACACAGUGUUUGGCUGCAAGGACUCAGAAGGGCGUUCUGCCCUGGAGGAGGAGAGGCACCGGCUUUGUCCCCGUGGCAAAUCAAAAGGGGAACCUUUAAAAACAUUGGGUUGGAGUUCCUGCUGUGGUGCGACAGGAUCAGUGGCAUCUCUGCAGC
This 5978-nucleotide long non-coding RNA is filed under the name Sus scrofa (pig). Its description in RNAcentral is "lncRNA (ENSSSCG00025055909.1)". The stretch from base 42 to 221 matches the Rfam family "Pvt1 oncogene conserved region 1". The record is from RNAcentral. Lineage: Eukaryota; Metazoa; Chordata; Mammalia; Artiodactyla; Suidae.